RNAcentral lists this ribosomal RNA (253 nucleotides) under uncultured bacterium. RNAcentral describes it as "partial 16S ribosomal RNA". It matches the Rfam family "Bacterial small subunit ribosomal RNA", at positions 524 to 776 of the family's 1533-position model. The record is from RNAcentral.
UACGUAGGGUGCAAACGUUGCUCGGAAUUAUUGGGCGUAAAGCGCGUGUAGGCGGCUUGUUAAGUCGGUUGUGAAAACCCAUGGCUCAACCAUGGAAGGGCGUCCGAAACUGGCAAGCUAGAGUCCCGACGAGGAUGGCGGAAUUCCCAGUGUAGAGGUGAAAUUCGUAGAUAUUGGGAGGAACACCGGUGGCGAAGGCGGCCAUCUGGGAGGGCACUGACGCUGAGACGCGAAAGCGUGGGGAGCAAACAGG